CCCUUAGAUGUCCUGGGCUGCACGCGCGCUACACUGAUGUGUCCAGUAAGCACCUAACCUCUUCCGAAAGGAACGGGUAACCUUUGCAAAGCACAUCGUGAUGGGGAUAGAUUAUUGCAAUUAUUAGUCUUGAACGAGGAAUUCCUAGUAAGCACAAGUCAUCAGCUUGUGUUGAUUACGUCCCUGCCCUUUGUACACACCGCCCGUCGCUCCUACCGAUUGAAUGUUCCGGUGAGCUCUUCGGACUGCGCGGUCUGCAGUUUCUGCGUUCCGUGCGGAAAGUUGCGCAAACCUUAACAUUUAGGGGGAGGAGAAGUCGUAACA
RNAcentral lists this ribosomal RNA (324 nucleotides) under uncultured eukaryote. Its description in RNAcentral is "partial 18S ribosomal RNA". It matches the Rfam family "Eukaryotic small subunit ribosomal RNA", at positions 1470 to 1796 of the family's 1831-position model. The record is from RNAcentral.